RNAcentral lists this transfer RNA (58 nucleotides) under Salmo salar (Atlantic salmon). It matches the Rfam family "tRNA", at positions 8 to 63 of the family's 71-position model. From Rfam's summary of the family: Transfer RNA (tRNA) molecules are approximately 80 nucleotides in length. The record is from Rfam by way of RNAcentral. Lineage: Eukaryota; Metazoa; Chordata; Actinopteri; Salmoniformes; Salmonidae.
UAGCUCAGUUAGUAGAGCAUGGUGUUUGCAACGCCAGGGUUGUGGGAUUGAUUCUCAC